This 67-nucleotide transfer RNA is filed under the name Colaspidema barbarum. RNAcentral describes it as "tRNA-Lys". The record is from RNAcentral. Lineage: Eukaryota; Metazoa; Arthropoda; Insecta; Coleoptera; Chrysomelidae.
CAUUAGGUGGCCGAUAAUAAGCAAUGGAAUUUUAACCCAUUUUAUAGUAUACUAAUACUUCUAAUGA